CAUAUAUUUCAAUUCAUUUAGCUUUUGAUGAGUCACUUGGAAGUUGUAAUUUUAAGCUCCUCCUAAGAAAAUCAGACAACUUUGCACUGGCAGCAUGCCCUCGCUCUAGACACUUGAGAUAUUCUUCCACUACGGAACAAAUUUAAAGAGGAAAAUAUUAGAAUUGGAUCUGGCAUCACAAACCAUGAACCCCAACCAAUUAAAAAUAUGUAGUAUGGGAGGACCAGGGCCAAACCACAGAAAAAGAAAAGCUUUCAUGCAAACUACCUUAGAAGCCCAUAACAAUUCAUCUUUUGAACUUUAAAACUUACUAUACUCUGAAAAGGAUGAAAGCAAAUGUGUCUUCUCAUGACAAAGAAAUCCCAGAAAUACAAAUAAGCACUGGUACUAGAUUUAUAUUCAUUAAUAUUAGGUUUAUGAUUUUGUUCUCCAGCCAAGGGAAUAGAAGACAGGAGGGUAUUAGGAAUUGAAAAGAAAUUAGAUUCCACAUGUUUCUAUGAUUUUAAGGAUAAAUUUUAAUAAUUGUCCAUGAAUUUAUAUGAUUGUAACAUUAUAAUCCUUCAACUUUAAAAUGUAACAU
This 580-nucleotide unclassified non-coding RNA is filed under the name Hevea brasiliensis (rubber tree). Lineage: Eukaryota; Viridiplantae; Streptophyta; Magnoliopsida; Malpighiales; Euphorbiaceae. The record is from RNAcentral.